GACGAACGCUGGCGGCGUGCUUAACACAUGCAAGUCGAACGGAAAGGCCCUGCUUUUGUGGGGUGCUCGAGUGGCGAACGGGUGAGUAACACGUGAGUAACCUGCCCUUGACUUCGGGAUAACUUCAGGAAACUGGGGCUAAUACCUGAUAGGAGCUCCUGCUGCAUGGUGGGGGUUGGAAAGUUUCGGCGGUUGGGGAUGGACUCGCGGCUUAUCAGCUUGUUGGUGGGGUAGUGGCUUACCAAGGCUUUGGCGGGUAGCCGGCCUGAGAGGGUGACCGGCCACAUUGGGACUGAGAUACGGCCCAGACUCCUACGGGAGGCAGCAGUGGGGAAUAUUGCACAAUGGGCGGAAGCCUGAUGCAGCAACGCCGCGUGCGGGAUGACGGCCUUCGGGUUGUAAACCGCUUUCGCCUGUGACGAAGCGUGAGUGACGGUAAUGGGUAAAGAAGCACCGGCUAACUACGUG
RNAcentral lists this ribosomal RNA (468 nucleotides) under uncultured bacterium. RNAcentral's name for it is "partial 16S ribosomal RNA". It matches the Rfam family "Bacterial small subunit ribosomal RNA", at positions 28 to 507 of the family's 1533-position model. The record is from RNAcentral.